ACAGCAGUCGCCGCGGGAAUACGGAGGGGGCUAGCGUUGUUCGGAAUUACUGGGCGUAAAGCGCACGUAGGCGGCUUGGUAAGUUAGAGGUGAAAGCCUGGAGCUCAACUCCAGAAUUGCCUUUAAGACUGCCGAGCUAGCAGGUGAGAGAGGUAAGUGGAAUUCCGAGUGUAGAGGUGAAAUUCGUAGAUAUUCGGAAGAACACCAGUGGCGAAGGCGACUGACUGGACAAGUAUUGACGCUGAGGUACGAAAGCGUGGGGAGCAAACAGGAUUAGAUACCCCUGUAGUCCCUGUCUCUUAUAA
RNAcentral lists this ribosomal RNA (305 nucleotides) under uncultured bacterium. RNAcentral's name for it is "partial 16S ribosomal RNA". It matches the Rfam family "Bacterial small subunit ribosomal RNA", at positions 508 to 809 of the family's 1533-position model. The record is from RNAcentral.